This 460-nucleotide ribosomal RNA is filed under the name uncultured bacterium. Its description in RNAcentral is "partial 16S ribosomal RNA". It matches the Rfam family "Bacterial small subunit ribosomal RNA", at positions 338 to 795 of the family's 1533-position model. The record is from RNAcentral.
CCUACGGGUGGCAGCAGUGAGGAAUAUUGGUCAAUGGACGAGAGUCUGAACCAGCCAAGUAGCGUGAAGGAUGACUGCCCUAUGGGUUGUAAACUUCUUUUAUAAAGGAAUAAAACGAGGCACGUGUGCCUUUUUGCAUGUACUUUAUGAAUAAGGAUCGGCUAACGCCGUGCCAGCAGCCGCGGUAAUACGGAGGAUCCGAGCGUUAUCCGGAUUUAUUGGGUUUAACGGGAGCGUAGAUGGGUUGGUAAGUCAGUUGUGAAAGUUUACGGUUCAACCGUACAGUUGCAAUUGAUACUGGCAGUCGUGAGUACAGAUGAGGUAGGCGGAAUUCGUGGUGUAGCGGUGAAAUGCUUAGAGAUAACGAAGAACCCCGAUUGCGAAGGCAGCUUACUAAACUGUGACUGACAUUGAUGCUCGAAAGUGUGGGUAUCAAACAGGAUUAGAUACCCGUGUAGUC